UCAAGUUUACGGGGCGACACGGGAACACCGGUUUGGGGGGGACAAGCGCGACCGGAAGGGCCAUGCGAUGGCCACCCCCCCUCAACUGCCUGCGUGGCUCCGCCCACCCGGCUCGUGGUCACGCCUCCUCCCCCCGCAGGCGUCGCUUGGCCCCGCCCGCGGGCGCUCGGCUCCGCCCAUUGCGUCGUGGCCACGCCCCUUUCCACCGCAGGCGCCGCUUGGCCCCGCCCCGGGCGCUAGGCUCCGCCCAUCGCGUCGUGGCCGCGCCCACUUAUCCCGCAGGCGCCGCUUAGUCCCGCCCCUGGAAACUCGGCCCCGCCCGUCCCGGACGCCUGGGUCCCCGGGCGGUUCCCUCAGCCGCUCCCGCUCCCGCCGCCGGACCCGCAGCUUCUCCCAGUAUCCCCAGUGCCCCCCCCGGUGCUCCAGUGGCCCCCCCGGUGAUCCCAGUAACCCCAGUGCCCCCCCCCAGCGCUCCCAGUAACCCCAGUGCCCCCCCCAGUGCCCCCCCAGUACUCCCAGUACCCCCCCCCCAGUGCUCCCAGUAACCCCCAGUGCCCCCCCCAGUGCCCCCCCAGUACUCCCAGUACCCCCCCCCCAGUGCUCCCAGUAACCCCCAGUGCCCCCCCAGUGCCCCCCCAGUGCUCCCAGUAACCUCGCAGUGCCCCCCCCGUUUUGGGGAGGAUGUUCCUGGUGAAGGGGCUGCUGGGGGGGGGCGGCGGGGGGGGCGGGGGGGGCGGGGCGCUCCCCGGGGGUAUCGGCUCCGUGCUGGGGGGCUGCUGAGCGGGGGGGCGGCGGGGGCGGGGCCGGGGGGGCCAUGAAGGUGCUGGGAGGUGUCAUCAGCGCCAUCAGCGAAGCGGCCGCCCAUUAUAACCCCGAACCCCCACCCCCCCGCACCCACAUUUCGACCAUUGAGGCCAAUGAGAGCGAGGAGGUUCGGCAGUUCCGGAGGCUCUUUGCGCAGCUGGCGGGGGACGUGAGUGACAGCGGG
Molecule: long non-coding RNA, 988 nt
Organism: Columba livia (rock pigeon)
Lineage: Eukaryota; Metazoa; Chordata; Aves; Columbiformes; Columbidae
Exons: 4
Source: RefSeq, a predicted model, not a curated record